UACGUAGGGACCGAGCGUUGUCCGGAAUCAUUGGGCGUAAAGAGCGUGUAGGCGGCCACUUAAGUCCUGCGUGAAAUCUUGCGGCUCAACCGCAAGCGGUCGUGGGAAACUGGGUGGCUAGAGUGCGGGAGAGGAGAGUGGAAUUCCUGGUGUAGCGGUGGAAUGCGCAGAUAUCAGGAACAACACCCGUGGCGAAGGCGGCUCUCUGGAACGCAACUGACGCUGAGACGCGAAAGCGUGGGGAGCAAACAGG
RNAcentral lists this ribosomal RNA (253 nucleotides) under uncultured bacterium. Its description in RNAcentral is "partial 16S ribosomal RNA". It matches the Rfam family "Bacterial small subunit ribosomal RNA", at positions 524 to 776 of the family's 1533-position model. The record is from RNAcentral.